CCCGUGUGCCACAACUACUGAGCCUGCGCUCUAGAGUCCGAGAGCCACAACUACUGAAGCCAGUGCACCUAGAACCCAUGCUCUGCAACAAGAGAAGCCACUGCAAUAAGAAGCCUGCUCGCUGCAACUAGAGAAAGCCCACGCACAGCAACGAAGACCCAAAGCCAAAAAUAAAUAAGUCCUGCCAGUUGCUUAAGAAAUGGCAGCAAGUGGAGCAACUAGACCCAUGUGCCACAAUUCCUGAGCCUGUGCUGUAGAGCCCGCAAGCCACAACUACUGAGGCCCACGCGCCUGGAGCCUGUGUUCCGCAACAAGAGAAGCCACCACAGUGAGAAGCCCACAUACCGCAACAAAGAGUGGACCCCGCUUGCUGCAACUAGAGAAAGCCCGAGCGCAGCAACGAAGACCCAAUGCAGGCAAAAAUAAAUAAAUAAAUUGAUUUAAAAAAUAAAAAUUAUCAAAAAAAAAAAAAGAAAUGGCAGCAAUUAUUAUGAAUGUGAUCUGGCUCAUCUCAGAAAGGAUGUCCUCCAUUUUAUGAAUUACUGUGCCUUUGAAAAUCUCUUCACAGGAUAUAAAAUAACGCUUUGUCAUGUAUAUUGCAGAUAUUUUCCUCAGAUUGUCAUUUUCUUCUUUUGGAAGUUUCUUAUUUUUUAUUUGGGCAAAACAUAUCGCCUUUUCUUAA
Molecule: long non-coding RNA, 682 nt
Organism: Orcinus orca (killer whale)
Lineage: Eukaryota; Metazoa; Chordata; Mammalia; Artiodactyla; Delphinidae
Exons: 2
Source: RefSeq, a predicted model, not a curated record